This is an unclassified non-coding RNA of Papio anubis (olive baboon), 148 nucleotides long. It matches the Rfam family "Metazoan signal recognition particle RNA". Rfam says of the family: The signal recognition particle (SRP) is a universally conserved ribonucleoprotein. It is involved in the co-translational targeting of proteins to membranes. The eukaryotic SRP consists of a 300-nucleotide 7S RNA and six proteins: SRPs 72, 68, 54, 19, 14, and 9. The record is from Ensembl. NCBI's taxonomy places the organism in Eukaryota, Metazoa, Chordata, Mammalia, Primates, Cercopithecidae.
GCCGGGCGUGGUGGCGGGUGCCUGUAGUCCCAGCUACUCAGGAGGCUGAGGCAGGAUAAUCACUUGAACCCGGGAGGCAGAGGUUGCAGUGAGCCAAGAUGGCACCACUGCACUCUAGCCUGGGCAACAGAGUGAGAUUUUGUCUCAA